GCCAGUUUAAACCUGGAAAGUACUGUGGGGCUGACUGAGAAUUGCUCUAGGAGGAGGGAAUGAGGAUUUUACUGUGAGACCGUAACAGAGCACAGUCUUCCUCUAGCCCACCUACCGUACGUGAAUGCAGCCAGAGAGCAGCAAAGGAAGGCUAGCUUCAGGCACCAAGCCCCCAGGCCUGCUCUGCCAGAUUCGCUGCCCAGAGACUUCAGCCUGAACAUCGGUGGCCCCAGGGAAAAAAACUGUGUCAUCUCCCAUCUGUUCAUCGUCACUCCGUCAUGGUCUGGCAGUUACUGGUUCAUAUGCAAGUAAAGAUGACCAUUCACUC
Molecule: long non-coding RNA, 328 nt
Filed under: Rattus norvegicus (Norway rat)
Lineage: Eukaryota; Metazoa; Chordata; Mammalia; Rodentia; Muridae
Description: long non-coding RNA NONRATT008709
Source: RNAcentral